UACGGAGGGUGCAAGCGUUAUCCGGAUUUACUGGGUUUAAAGGGUGCGUAGGUGGGUCUGUAAGUCAGUGGUGAAAUCUCCGAGCUUAACUCGGAAACUGCCAUUGAUACUAUAGGUCUUGAAUUAUCUGGAGGUGAGCGGAAUAUGUCAUGUAGCGGUGAAAUGCUUAGAUAUGACAUAGAACACCAAUUGCGAAGGCAGCUCACUACGGAUAUAUUGACACUGAGGCACGAAAAGCGUGGGGGAUCAAACAGG
RNAcentral lists this ribosomal RNA (255 nucleotides) under uncultured bacterium. RNAcentral describes it as "partial 16S ribosomal RNA". It matches the Rfam family "Bacterial small subunit ribosomal RNA", at positions 524 to 776 of the family's 1533-position model. The record is from RNAcentral.